Long non-coding RNA from Oncorhynchus keta (chum salmon), 581 nucleotides. RefSeq lists it as uncharacterized. The transcript has 3 exons. The record is from RefSeq and is a predicted model, not a curated record. NCBI's taxonomy places the organism in Eukaryota, Metazoa, Chordata, Actinopteri, Salmoniformes, Salmonidae.
AUUGUCUAUAUCGUACAAAUUCAUGAAAACAAACAUUUCAUUUUUGGUCUUCAUUUAGGAUUAGGCAUUAUGGUUACUAGUGUGGUUAGGCUAGGAUUAAGGUUAGGGUUAGGCAUUAUGGUUACUAGUGUGGUUAGGCUAGGGUUAAGGUUAGGGUUAGGCAUUAUGGUUACUAGUGUGGUUAGGCUAGGAUUAAGGUUAGGGUUAGGCAUUAUGGUUACUAGUGUGGUUAGGCUAGGAUUAAGGUUAGGGUUAGGCAUUAUGGUUACUAGUGUGGUUAGGCUAGGAUUAAGGUUAGGGUUAGGCAUUAUGGUUACUAGUGUGGUUAGGCUAGGAUUAAGGUUAGGGUUAGGCAUUAUGGUUACUAGUGUGGUUAGGCUAGGAUUAAGGUUAGGGUUAGGCAUUAUGGUUACUAGUGUGGUUAGGCUAGGAUUAAGGUUAGGGUUAGGCAUUAUGGUUACUAGUGUGGUUAGGCUAGGAUUAAGGUUAGGGUUAGGCAUUAUGGUUACUAGUGUGGUUAGGCUAGGAUUAAGGUUAGGGUUAGGCAUUAUGGUUACUAGUGUGGUUAGGCUAGGAUUAAG